Aplysia californica (California sea hare) is the source of this 538-nucleotide long non-coding RNA. RefSeq lists it as uncharacterized. NCBI's taxonomy places the organism in Eukaryota, Metazoa, Mollusca, Gastropoda, Aplysiida, Aplysiidae. The record is from RefSeq and is a predicted model, not a curated record. The transcript is spliced from 2 exons.
AUUAUGUGAAUAUUUUCUACAUCAUUGUGUGUGUUGAGGAACAGAAGUGGUGACUAAUUAAUUAAUUAAUUAAGAUUGACCAACAGUCUUGAGAUCGCAAAUUUGAAGUGCUGUUUGGCUGCACUGUAGGCCUACUGUUCAUUUUCAGAUUCUUCAUCGCCAUCGUACUCAGUGAAUGCCUGGAUUCUUUUAGUUGAGGCCUAAUGCAGUUUUUUUUUCCCCAAAUCAUCUGGAUUGUGUGAAUAUCAAAUAUCUCUUCCAUCAGUUGCUUACAUGCUUCUCUUCUAGGCCUAUUUAUUGCUUUCAUCAUGUGUGGUUAUGACUCUGUUGGACUGUGACUGACACCUUCAAAAUAAACUGAAGGAAUAAGAACAACAAUGGGAAGAAAAUGCUCAGUUGGUGGAUGCAAAACUGGCUAUGACAGUCAGAAAGGUGCAGAAAAAGUGACCUUGUAUGGAUUUCCUUCGGAUGAAACAGAAUGUCGGGCAUGGACUGCUAGCUUACCAAACAUUUUAUCCUAUGAAAAGGUGUCAAAAUA